This 2499-nucleotide long non-coding RNA is filed under the name Callithrix jacchus (white-tufted-ear marmoset). Its description in RNAcentral is "lncRNA (ENSCJAG00000073022.1)". Lineage: Eukaryota; Metazoa; Chordata; Mammalia; Primates; Cebidae. The record is from RNAcentral.
GCUAUUCUCGUGACAGUGAGAAAGUCUCAUGAGAUCUGAUGGGUUUAUCAGAGGUUUCCAUUUUUGCUUCCUUUUCAGUUUUCUAUUGCUGCCACCAUCAUUUUCACCUCCUGUCAUGAUUCUGAGGCCUCCCCAGCCAUGUAGAACUGGAAGAAGGAAGAUUUCUAUUCCUACCAGUGAAGACUCCUGAAGCGUGGGAUACUGUUUUGCUCUUACAAAGGUCAGUUCAUGAUGGACUAGUAUUGGUUUUAACCAUUAUUCAUAAUAGUCUCUGAAAUGCUUGGUGCUUCCAUGGUAAAGUAAAAGAGGCUGCUGGCAUUUUCCUGUUACAUCUCAUGGUGAAAAUCUCUUUGCCUGGUUCCAUUUGUUCUCCCUAAAUAAUUUUUAAAAGAAUUAUAUGACUUAAAAAUUAUUUGAUUUAAAUUCUUUACUCCUGAAUCUUUAAGAAUUAUAGUACUAUAGCGAUGAUUUAUGGAUGUAUUUUUUAUUCAAUGUUUUUGAAAAUUAUGCCAAAAUGUGAUGCUAUUUGGGUUAACAGUUGAUAGCACACUUGUGGUGGCCAGACUCUAAGGUGGGCCCCAGUGAUCUUUACCUUCUGAUGCCAGUGUCCUUGUGUAGUCCUUGUCCAUAAUACACUGGAGUUGGUCUUUGUGAUAGAUCAUAUGUGGCAGAGUGAGGUUCAAUCCUGUAAGACAUUGCCACUUCUGCCUUGAUCUCCUGGAUCACUUACCAUGUCAUGAGGAUACUCAUCCCUGUGGAAAGGUCUAUGUGGUAAGGAACUUAGUGAGGCCUUCUGACAACAACCAGCACUGGUUUGACAGCUAUUAGAAUAAGAUGUCUUAAAAACAUAUUCUCCCGUUAAGCCUUCUAAUGACUAGCUAACCAUUAUGACCAUAACCUCAUGAAAGACCCUGAACUAGACUAUUAAGCUAAGCCAUGAUCUGAUUCUUAACCCACAGAAACUUUAUAAGACAGUAAAUCUAUACAGCUUUCUAGGCCACUAAGUGUUGAAGUAAUUUGCAGGCAACAUCAAAUAAAACUAUACUGGAAAGAACAUCUAAAGCCUAAAGCCUUAAUUCUCACUUGAACAGAAUUUUAUUAAAUGAUGCUGAAGAUAAGAGUAACUUUGGGAGUUGGACAUUGUAGCAUAACUUUAAAAAAUCAGUUACUGCAAUUAAAUUUUUUUAUUACCAACAAAUAUUGCUAAGGACAACUCCUCCAUGGUUCUGCUGACAUAAACUGCAUAUUAGUUUAUACAAGUAUAUUUGCCUCAGUAUUUUAUAACUAUCAGAGUUUGAUCUUGACUCCAGAGUCAUUAGAGACAACUGUGUGUUGAACCAAAUGUUAGAAUCCUGACAUGUGAUUUUGAGAAAGAGGAACCAAAAAUGGUAGACUUUUCCAGGAAUUGUUAUAUAGGGAAGGCAGAAUUUGGUGAAUAGUAUCUAUUUCCCAGAUUGGGCUCUCCCCACACUGACAAAGCUUUUCCUGCCUCUCAACAUUAGCAUAAAUUUAAAAACCUACAAGAGGCAACACACACACACACACACAUACACACAAAUUAAGUAUAUGUCACAAUAGCGCAACUGAACACUAUUUGUGGAGCCAUUGCUGUAUGCAGUCCACUCUGCUGUGAAUUUCAAUUAAUAGAUGACACAGAAUCUACUUCCUGGCACAUACUGUUCCAUGACGUUUAAGACUCUGACAAGCAAUCCUGGAGAUGGAAGCCGUAAAAUUCCUGCCUACCCUACACUCUUUGUCAUUUAAAGUACUAGUAGAUCCCUGAAUUCUUCCCACUUAGGUCUGAGGCCAUCUGUUUGGAGACUAGGUCUAAGACUGUAUCAGCAGACCUGCCACAGAAUUUUAUUUCUCGCUCUUGUUCACUUAGCCCUGCUGUCCUGGUAUUCACUGUUGGCAUGAUCUACUGUCUCCUCUGAUGCCUUCAUUAUUGGUUGACCUACCUCCUCCUCAGUUUUCUAUUCCUGGUUUAAUUCAUGGAAGUAAAUUCUAUUAAUAAGACAGGGUUUCUACCUUUAAGAGGUUUAUAAUUAAGUUGAAUAACAAGUGUGACAAAGGAACACACAAAUGUUCAUUUUGAUUCCUGCUCCCCAGAGACGUCAAUUGUCCAUGAGUCAGCUCCACUUCCUGCUCCUCUGGUGUUGGGGCUUCUAUUGUUAGGAGAGUUCUUGCCUGCUCCCUUAUGGGUUCCAGGACCCAACCACAGUUGGCCAGUCAUAAUCCAUCAGACCCGGUUUGUUCAAAAUGAAUUGCUGAUGUACUCAUAACCAAUUUCAUGAGAUUUAUAGUUCAGUUAAGAAGGCAAGACCUGAUAGGAAAAAUUGAAAUAAUAGGAUGUUUUAAUGCUCAGUAAUAGAACAGAUCUUAUGAGACACAGGACAUGAUUUUUUAAUGUGAUAUCAUGGACACUGAUUGUCACAGUGUACAAAGGAAGAUAAGAUUCUUUGAGCUGGAUCCCCGGAAAGGGCUCUUCAGAGGAAGUAG